UGGGGAAUAUUGGACAAUGGGGGCAACCCUGAUCCAGCAAUGCCGCGUGUGUGAAGAAGGCCUUCGGGUUGUAAAGCACUUUUAUCGGGAAAGAAACACUGUCGGCUAAUACCCGGCGGCACUGACGGUAGCCGAUGAAUAAGCACCGGCUACCUCUGUGCCAGCAGCCGCGGUAAUACGGAGGGUGCAAGCGUUCAUCGGAAUUACUGGGCGUAAAGCGUGCGUAGGUGGUUCGUUAAGUCCGUUGUGAAAGCCCCGAGCUCAACUUGGGAAUUGCAGUGGAUACUGGCGAGCUGGAGUGCGGUAGAGGAAGGUGGAAUUCCCGGUGUAGCGGUGAAAUGCGUAGAGAUCGGGAGGAACACCAGUGGCGAAGGCGGCCUUCUGGUCCAGCACUGACACUCAAGCACGAAAGCGUGGGGAGCAAAC
Molecule: ribosomal RNA, 426 nt
Filed under: uncultured bacterium
Lineage: Bacteria
Description: bacterial SSU rRNA
Rfam family: Bacterial small subunit ribosomal RNA
Source: RNAcentral